This 245-nucleotide ribosomal RNA is filed under the name uncultured bacterium. RNAcentral's name for it is "partial 16S ribosomal RNA". It matches the Rfam family "Bacterial small subunit ribosomal RNA", at positions 524 to 768 of the family's 1533-position model. The record is from RNAcentral.
UACGUAGGGUGCAAGCGUUAAUAGGAAUUACUGGGCGUAAAGCGUGCGCAGGCGGUUUUGUAAGUCUGUCGUGAAAUCCCCGGGCUCAACCUGGGAAUUGCGUUGGAGACUGCAAGGCUAGAAUCUGGCAGAGGGGGGUAGAAUUCCACGUGUAGCAGUGAAAGGCGUAGAGAUGUGGAGGAACACCGAUGGCGAAGGCAGCCCCCUGGGUCAAGAUUGACGCUCAUGCACGAAAUCGUGGGGAG